Molecule: long non-coding RNA, 730 nt
Organism: Sarcophilus harrisii (Tasmanian devil)
Lineage: Eukaryota; Metazoa; Chordata; Mammalia; Dasyuromorphia; Dasyuridae
Exons: 4
Source: RefSeq, a predicted model, not a curated record
UGGUGGCAAAGAAUUGAAAAGUUAAGAGAUACUUACAAAUUGGGGAAUGGUUGACCAAGUUAUUGACUAUGAAUAUGAUGCAAUUCUAUUGUGCUGUAAGAAACAAGGGGUGUGGUUUUAUAAAAACCUGAGAAAACCUUAGUGAACUGAUGCAAAGUGAAGUGAGCAAAUCCAGCAGAACAAUCUACAUAGAUUUGUAUGUAGCAACAGCAAUCUGAUGCUACUCUUUACAGAUGACUUUGUAGUGAUUGCUUCAAGCUCCAGAACAUUGAAAAGAGCCCAACUUAACUAUCUAAGCAGGAAAAGAAAACAAAUAAAAAAGUGAAUACCUUUUGAUGAAAUUAUGACAUACAGAUGGAUGCAUCAUGAAAGGAUGAACAAGCAAUGAAGCUUCCUCCUCCUGGGAAUUCUCCAAACUGCCAAGAUGAGGGCAGUUUAAGUGAACAAGUUACUCCAGAGAAAAAAUAGAAAGAAGAAUUGUGGUCAGCUCCUGCUUUUGGACUGCUUUCCUGACUCCUAUUUCCUUUAAUGGAUUGACUUUCCAGAAUUCAACUGCUUUUAUGAGCUAAGAGCUACUGAAGAAGUUUCUGAUUCCUAGAGGAGCCCUUGACAGAUCCCAAACCUUUCCUUAAUAUCUUCCAUGACCUACAGAAAACUAUUCCUAGAGAAGAGGGAGACUAAUCAGGAAUACCUUAGAAGGCAAUAAGGCAAGUGCAACAAAAUUCUUGAA